RNAcentral lists this long non-coding RNA (316 nucleotides) under Gossypium barbadense (sea-island cotton). RNAcentral describes it as "long non-coding RNA (GBAR_LNC014956)". The record is from RNAcentral. Lineage: Eukaryota; Viridiplantae; Streptophyta; Magnoliopsida; Malvales; Malvaceae.
AAAUCCUUCAGGCCCAUGGUUGGGACCUUGAACUCGCCAUCUCUUCCUUCACCUCUUCCACUCAACCCUCCGCUUCUUCCACUGUCUCUGAUUCCGACCCUCCCGAUUCACGGGCCCGGACUGAUUCCGCCUCGGCCUCGGCCUCGGCCUCGGCCUCUGCCUCCGCCUCCGCCUCCGCCUCCGCCUCCGCCUCCGGUCCUAUUACCGCUCCCGCACCGGGCUUAGCCUGGAGACUCGUUACAUUACCGAUUUCCGUGAUAUCCGGAAGUUUAGGGUUGAUCUCUGGCGCUGUUGGGCUGGGUCUAUGGGCCGCGGG